This 253-nucleotide ribosomal RNA is filed under the name uncultured bacterium. RNAcentral describes it as "partial 16S ribosomal RNA". It matches the Rfam family "Bacterial small subunit ribosomal RNA", at positions 524 to 776 of the family's 1533-position model. The record is from RNAcentral.
UACGGGGGGGGCAAGCGUUGUUCGGAAUUACUGGGCGUAAAGGGCUCGUAGGCGGCCAACUAAGUCAGACGUGAAAUCCCCAGGCUUAACCUGGGAACUGCGUCUGAUACUGGAUGGCUUGAAUUCGGGAGAGGGAUGCAGAAUUCCAGGUGUAGCGGUGAAAUGCGUAGAUAUCGGGAGGAACACCAGUGGCGAAGGCGACUACCUGGCCUGUUCUUGACGCUGAGGCGCGAAAGCUAGGGGAGCAAACGGG